Molecule: non-coding RNA, 20 nt
Filed under: Arabidopsis thaliana (thale cress)
Lineage: Eukaryota; Viridiplantae; Streptophyta; Magnoliopsida; Brassicales; Brassicaceae
Source: RNAcentral
CGACAGGGUCCGGGCACGAC